This 857-nucleotide long non-coding RNA is filed under the name Marmota monax (woodchuck). Lineage: Eukaryota; Metazoa; Chordata; Mammalia; Rodentia; Sciuridae. The record is from RNAcentral.
AGUCCUGGCAGCCCCUCCCAAACCCCUUACAUCAAGUGAGAGGGACCCAGCAAAUCCCGGUGUAAGUCAGGUCUAGAAGCCAGUCAUUGACAGAGGAUUGGGAUUUCACUCUGGCCCAAGUUUGGCUAGUAGACACUUCACAUGAGUCAAGUCCAGGCCUCCUGUACAUCCAGAGUUUUGAGAGAAGGAACCACGUGGGGUAUAAGAAGGCAGCCUCUCUCCUACCCACUUCCUUCACUAAUGAAAUAGUGGUUAACUGCCUAGGCUCAGAAAUGUCACCUCUGUGAGGCCUUUCCCUGACACCCACUUCCACCCCCGCCCUCCUAACCCGACAGAAUAAACCACUUCUGGGUGCUCUGGUAUCACUUUUGUUGCACCUGUUACAGCCGGUGCCAGGCAGUUAUCUUCUAGUUCCGAGUUUCCCGGCCUGUCAGAGGAAGUAUGCCACAGUCUUUCUUGACAAAGUGGGGACUCCUUCAUGGAGAGUGUUGUGAGGCACUCUUCAGGCUUUCACUCAUUUAUUCAAUCGUUGUGCACCUACCAUGUGUCAGGCAUUUGCUUAAUUGCCAAAAUACAAUGAUAAGGCAUAUCCACUCCCUCAUCUUUAUAGUUCCUGCAGUCUCGCUCAAGAUCAGGCACAGCAGGGGUUGGCAUGGCAAUCUAGUUAGAAAGCUUGUCUUGAAGCUGCCUCUUUGCACAGCAAACACCAUUUUAACUUACACUCAAUAAUAAAAACAUUAACAUUUUCUCAAGAUGCUUUAUCUACAGUUUCUAAGACAGAAAUUCACUUGUAACAUAUAUAUAUAUGUGUAUACAUAUAUACACACACAUAUAUAUAACAUCUGGGAUGACUUUGG